UCCAAUGUUGAAGGAUGUUCACUGUUGCAG
Molecule: non-coding RNA, 30 nt
Filed under: Rattus norvegicus (Norway rat)
Lineage: Eukaryota; Metazoa; Chordata; Mammalia; Rodentia; Muridae
Source: RNAcentral